Molecule: RNA transcript, 2448 nt
Organism: Haliotis rubra (blacklip abalone)
Lineage: Eukaryota; Metazoa; Mollusca; Gastropoda; Lepetellida; Haliotidae
Exons: 4
Source: RefSeq, a predicted model, not a curated record
CUGCAGGGUAACGUGUAGAGCCAUACAACCUGUGCAUAUGUGCUGCACACUGAAAUUUAUAUCUGUUGAAGGAAGUGCCAGAUACGGCUGAUUUGCCUUUUCGACAGAAAGACAUUUUCUGGCAACUGUCCCUUUACGAAGAAUUUCAUUGAUCUGGUUUCUUGGUGUAAAGAGUACGCUGUACAAGGUCAAGGUCAUAUAAAUGAAUGACGACACAUCUCCCCCAUAUGUACACCAGUAUACCCCUGUAGUCAACUGCCAAUUUCACGGAAAUGGCGUGAGCUCAUUUCAUGAGAAGCGACUGGGUGGACAGUUCCAAGCUAGGACAGCGUGAACACAACAAAAUGUUACCCCAUCGACAGCUGUAUUAGCAUACCUAUACGCCCCGGUCUGUGGUCAGUCGGAACCGAAUAGCCCUAUUGACACGUGCGAUCUGAUCCAAAAGCCUCGUCGUGACCAACCUCCCAUUGAACGUGAUGCGUCUACCGCUCACCAACAAUUUCUACGGAAACUGAAAGACUUCACAAAAACUGCUAAAAAAGAGAGAAAAGCAAUACAAAAGGCUUGGGACAUUCCACGCAGCCUGGUGAGGGAAUAUCGCAAUAAAGGCAUCAGAGAUCUUCAUCCAAGGCAAGGAAAACGUCUUCGAAUACCGAAAAACAAAAGGGUACAGCCACUGUUCGAGGCGGCGUGGUGGCUGACGUCGAUGCAGAAAGCUGCUCAUGAACUGUAUCAGAUGAACCUCAUUGCAGAAAGGUUUACCAAAGAGCUGGAGGCUCUCUCCAACGACCUCUACGGAACCCUAUACGUCCUGAAUAUCCGUGUCAGAAAACCAAGAGAACUCUGCCAUCGAGAGCAAACAAUCGACUUUCCACUGGAGCCAGUAGAUGUGACAAAGGAAAGCGGUUAUGGGUAUAUCGUCCUGCGGGACAUAGAACGAGGCGUCAAACGGAUGGCGAAGAUGUUGAGGAGGUGUAAGGUUACCGUUUCCAAAAACAGAUCCCGAGUCAGGUGUGGUAAAAAAGCCAAGUCUAUAUUCUACUCGAAAAAAUCGAAAAUUGUCCUGGGAACAUGGCAAGACAUUUUUACAUGAUGUAGACGGUUAAACGAAGUAGGAACUGGUUGUUGCCACAGAUGGUGUCGACUUGUGAGAUACAUUUGAUGACAUCCUCUCUUACAUAUGGAUGGGGGCAUCUAUGCUGCUUGACUCUGAGAUCAACGUCCUGGAGCGAUAUAAUGUGUGUUUGCUGUGGAGGCGUCCAGCCCCGGGGCUCCGUCACUGGUUCUGAAUGUUCACGUCAAAUUUAAACUGCUAUUUGAACAUAAUUAUUAGAAUGGCUUGUCUAGGGUAUGCAUGAAUGCGUGUGCGUGCAUAUAAUUUCAGCGUGGGUUUGUGUGUAUGGGUGUGUGCACAUCCUGGUGUCAAUAUUGAGAAUAAGUCCGCGCGUGUGUGUGCUUAUGCGCGUAUGUCGUACGAGAGAUGACGCAUUAUUUAUACAAGAAUAUUUUUGUGAGGACGCUUUAACUUAUUUUUACUCAUUUGUCAUUGUACAUAAAUGUUAUUAUUUAUUGUUUAACAUAUAAUGUUUCUCAUUUAUCAAUCACUUUGAACAAAAAUGCAUUUGCAUGUGAAACUUGGUGCCGAGACAUGUUGUGCCCAUUGUGAACUUGAUGAAACGUGUAUGAAAACUGUGUAUUCCAGUGUCGUCCAAUAUGACACUCAAAGUCAACUGCUUCAAGUACCAAAUUAUAUGUGAGGAUCUUCAAAGAGUUUAGAAUUCCUUGAACUGUUCUAAACUCUGGAUAAAGUCUUUGUUAUCUGUCCAUUCCAUUUCAUUAUUUCAACAAUGGUUCGAUACAUAUUUUUCAACAGGUUUCAUUGUUCGACACAGCCUAGUCAUACUGCAGUAAGAGUUUCCAUUUCUCUUCAAGACAAACCAUAUUUCGAAACUACUGAUGUUUGGGAUAAAAUUAUGCAUGUUCGAUUUAUAGUUGUCCGAUGCAGACUCUAGAACCAAAUAUGAAUCGUUGCAGCCAAAGACACGCUAAAUGCUUUAAAUGAAAUAAUGAGGGGUUUCAUCUGAAUAUUCUGUUAUGUAUAUGAGUUUCCUGAUGUUGUUUAUAGAACCGAUAUAACGGGAAAAGUUUAUGCCAUAGAAUCUUGCAUUUAUAUUGUGUUGUGUAUCUAUUAUGAAAUGUUAUUAGAAGCCAUGACAAGAUUGACAGUCCACUUCACCCAGAACACCUGCUAAUACGUCCAAUGAGAAAUGUCCAAUGUGAAAUCCUACACAACACCACUGGAUGUUGUCCUGUACAUAACAAACUAAACCUCUUCUCUGACGUAUGCAUUUUCUUUUUAAAGAAAAUUAUGUUUCAUAAUUAUUUGAUAUCAUGCCAUUUGUAUUCAUGUAUUUUUACCUGAUACAUUAAAUGCCUGUAUUUUUACAA